This 497-nucleotide ribosomal RNA is filed under the name uncultured bacterium. Its description in RNAcentral is "partial 16S ribosomal RNA". It matches the Rfam family "Bacterial small subunit ribosomal RNA", at positions 28 to 507 of the family's 1533-position model. The record is from RNAcentral.
GAUGAACGCUGGCGGCGUGCCUAAUACAUGCAAGUCGAGCGAGCAGACGAGGAGCUUGCUCCUCUGACGUUAGCGGCGGACGGGUGAGUAACACGUGGAUAACCUACCUAUAAGACUGGGAUAACUUCGGGAAACCGGAGCUAAUACCGGAUAAUAUAUUGAACCGCAUGGUUCAAUAGUGAAAGACGGUUUUGCUGUCACUUAUAGAUGGAUCCGCGCCGCAUUAGCUAGUUGGUAAGGUAACGGCUUACCAAGGCAACGAUGCGCAGCCGACCUGAGAGGGUGAUCGGCCACACUGGAACUGAGACACGGUCCAGACUCCUACGGGAGGCAGCAGUAGGGAAUCUUCCGCAAUGGGCGAAAGCCUGACGGAGCAACGCCGCGUGAGUGAUGAAGGUCUUCGGAUCGUAAAACUCUGUUAUUAGGGAAGAACAAAUGUGUAAGUAACUAUGCACGUCUUGACGGUACCUAAUCAGAAAGCCACGGCUAACUACGUG